This 484-nucleotide long non-coding RNA is filed under the name Lotus japonicus. Its description in RNAcentral is "long non-coding RNA (LJAP_LNC002073)". Lineage: Eukaryota; Viridiplantae; Streptophyta; Magnoliopsida; Fabales; Fabaceae. The record is from RNAcentral.
AGAAGAAAGCUCUACUCAAUGGACUACUGAUAUUUCUGAGGUUCAGCACCGAAUCAAGUUACAGAUCGUUGCUUGUCUUUUGAGGUGAGAAUUCUUGUUAUUCAGAAUUCUUGUUAAUUGGUAUCAGAUAAGUAUCAUGUCAUUAUCUAAUCCAUCUUCCAAUCAUGCUCAUUGCUUCCCCCUUUCUGGUUUCAGUUCCAGUUUGCUGAUGGGUGACAGUCUCAGUUUUCUGUUGGAAUUUGGGUAAGUUAACUGCUUUAUCACAACUUUACAAGCCAUGAGAGGAUAAAGCAAUUAACCAUCUAUUUGAUAAGAACUAGAAGAAUAGCUAGCUUCUUAAUUUUAUUUGAUAAGAAACUUGAAAGAAUGAAAGCUAGUAUUCUGUUUUUCCAUGAAAGACUUGAUGCCUAUAAUUCAGAACUGUGAAAACAUAACAAACACUAAUAUCUUUGAGGGCAAAAGCAGAACAUAACUGAUUUUUGAA